RNAcentral lists this ribosomal RNA (669 nucleotides) under uncultured bacterium. RNAcentral describes it as "bacterial SSU rRNA". It matches the Rfam family "Bacterial small subunit ribosomal RNA", at positions 334 to 1025 of the family's 1533-position model. The record is from RNAcentral.
CGCCCUUACGGGAGGCAGCAGCAAGGAAUUUUCGGCAAUGGGCGCAAGCUGACCGAGCAACGCCGCGUGCGGGAUGACGGCCUUCGGGUUGUAAACCGCUUUUCGGGGGGACGACCCUGACGGUACCCCCGGAAUCAGCCCCGGCUAACUCUGUGCCAGCAGCCGCGGUAAGACAGAGGGGGCGAGCGUUGUCCGGAGUCACUGGGCGUAAAGCGCGCGCAGGCGGCAACCUAAGUGUCGUGUGAAAGCCCCCGGCUCAACCGGGGGAGGCCAUGGCAAACUCGGCGACUGGAGCGGCGGAGAGGCCCCUCGAAUUGCCGGUGUAGCGGUGAAAUGCGUAGAGAUCCGGAGGAACGCCAGUGGGGAAGCCGGCCACCUGGGCUCGUCCUGACGCUGCGGCGCGACAGGUGGGAGAGCAAACCGGAUUAGAUACCCGGGUAGUCCACGCCGUAAACGAUGCCAGCUCGGCGUGUGGCGCACGGUUGUGCGUGCGUGCCUUAGCUCACGCGAUAAGCUGGCCGGCCUGGGGACUACGAGCGCAAGUUAAAACUCAAGGGAAUUGACGGGGGCCGCACAAGCAGCGGGGUUGUGGUUUAAUUCGACGCAACACGAGGAACCUAACUGGGCUUUGACAUGACGCUGCACGCCGUCGAAGAGGCCCCUGGGAGG